Long non-coding RNA from Caenorhabditis elegans, 359 nucleotides. Ensembl annotates it as ncRNA. Its record names the gene linc-67. NCBI's taxonomy places the organism in Eukaryota, Metazoa, Nematoda, Chromadorea, Rhabditida, Rhabditidae. The record is from Ensembl.
GGCAUCACGAGUGUUUUUGUGUUCGACCGGCACAUAGAACGAUAUCAAAGGUUUACAGUAACUAUAAAACGAAAAAAAAAGAACACGUUUACAUGCAAAUCCAACACACAAAUUAUGGGCUGUUAUCAGCUGAGUGUAAUUGUUGCCAGCCGUCAACUCAUAACCUCACUUUCCCUCUCUCUCUCUUCCUCUCACCAUGUUUGAGUUUCUAAAGAACAAAUGAAAAAUGAAGAAGACGAAUGAUGUUCUCCUCAUCAUUCUUUAACUGUUUCUGUUUUCGACAUGUAUUACAUCUUUUUUGAAUGGAUUUUUUUUAUUUUUAACAUGCCUGAUACAUUUUAUAAUAAAUAUUUGUUGGU